CACGAACCGUACGAACGUUAUUCGGAAUUACUGGGCUUAAAGCGUGCGUAGGCGGCGCGGAAAGUUGGGUGUGAAAUCCCUCGGCUCAACCGAGGAACUGCGCUCAAAACUACCGUGCUUGAGGGAGACAGAGGUGAGCGGAACUGAUGGUGGAGCGGUGAAAUGCGUUGAUAUCAUCAGGAACACCAGUGGCGAAGGCGGCUCACUGGGUCUCUUCUGACGCUGAGGCACGAAAGCCAGGGGAGCGAACGGG
This 253-nucleotide ribosomal RNA is filed under the name uncultured bacterium. RNAcentral's name for it is "partial 16S ribosomal RNA". It matches the Rfam family "Bacterial small subunit ribosomal RNA", at positions 524 to 776 of the family's 1533-position model. The record is from RNAcentral.